Molecule: non-coding RNA, 90 nt
Organism: Vitis vinifera (wine grape)
Lineage: Eukaryota; Viridiplantae; Streptophyta; Magnoliopsida; Vitales; Vitaceae
Source: Rfam
UCUCGGUGAUGAUAGUAAAAUGAUGACGAGUCCGAUCAUUCAUGCUUUCCAUAAAUCCUGACGACAAAACGAGGCAUUUGUCUGAGAGAA